This 72-nucleotide transfer RNA is filed under the name Bos taurus (domestic cattle). It matches the Rfam family "tRNA". Rfam says of the family: Transfer RNA (tRNA) molecules are approximately 80 nucleotides in length. Their secondary structure includes four short double-helical elements and three loops (D, anti-codon, and T loops). Further hydrogen bonds mediate the characteristic L-shaped molecular structure. tRNAs have two regions of fundamental functional importance: the anti-codon, which is responsible for specific mRNA codon recognition, and the 3' end, to which the tRNAs corresponding amino acid is attached (by aminoacyl-tRNA synthetases). tRNAs cope with the degeneracy of the genetic code in two manners: having more than one tRNA (with a specific anti-codon) for a particular amino acid; and 'wobble' base-pairing, i.e. permitting non-standard base-pairing at the 3rd anti-codon position. Lineage: Eukaryota; Metazoa; Chordata; Mammalia; Artiodactyla; Bovidae. RNAcentral also lists the same sequence under 5 other names. The record is from Rfam by way of RNAcentral.
UCCCCAGUGGUCCAAUGGUUAAGACAUUGCACUUUCAAUGCUGAGGGCCCACGUUCGACCCCUGGUGGGGAA